Long non-coding RNA from Mizuhopecten yessoensis (Yesso scallop), 1835 nucleotides. RefSeq lists it as uncharacterized. The record is from RefSeq and is a predicted model, not a curated record. NCBI's taxonomy places the organism in Eukaryota, Metazoa, Mollusca, Bivalvia, Pectinida, Pectinidae. The transcript has 3 exons.
GUAUGGAACAACCACGACUGACCGACCAAAGAGUAUGGAAUUACCACCAACGACCGACCAAAGAGUAUGGAACAACAAUGAAUGACCGACCAAAGAGAGUGGAACAACCACGAAUGACCAACAUAAGAGUAUGGAAUAACCACCAAUGACAGAUCAAAGAGUAUCAAACAACCACCAAUGACGGACCCAAGAGUAUCGAACAAACACCAAUGACAGAUCCAAGAGCAUCGAACAAACACCAAAUGACAGAUCAAAGAGUAAGGAACAGCCACCAAUGACAGACCAGAAUAUGGAACCAAAAUCUGACGAAUAACAGCUGAAAUAAUGAAACAAAACAGACCAGAGCACAAGACCACUAAUUACAGACCAAAGUAUGGUAUAACCACUAGCAUCAGACCAGAGAAGGGGACAGCAAUACUAAAAGGGCCGGUAAAGAUGGAAGCAACAACGAUGACAGAAAGCAAUCAGAGAACGGAACCACAUAUAAGACAGACUAAAGCAUAUGACGACGAAGGACAGACCAAUUAGUAUGGAACAAGCACCAAAUACAGACCAGAAGAUUGAACCAAACUCUACAAAUGCCAUCGCUGAAAUAACAAACAACAAAACAGACAACAUGGAAAGCAAAAUUAAUGGAAAACGGCUUUUGAAACAAGACUUCAGAAGAUUGAACCAAAACCUUAGAGGAACCAAAAAAAAGGACCUCAAGUGAUAGAGCACAGAGUAUGGUGCAACCACCAGCAACAGACAAAACCACAACUUAUGAUAACCCAUACCGGAUCUGAAAUAAUAUAAGAAAAGACAACUAGAACUAAAUUGACCUCAACCAACCAGACUACAGAGAAUGCAUCAACAAAGCACGAGGGAUGAGCAUGGGCCCGGACCUCAGCGGAUGUGUCCACAAAUCACAAACGAUAAAAGAAUUAGGUGAAACUACCAAUAAAACCAGCCACUGAGGACGAAAACACAACAUUCAGCAGAGCACUAUGAAUAGGACCACCACAGACAAUAGUCCACAGCAGAUGGAACCACAACCCAGGCCACGACUAGAGAAUUCGGACUACAAGUAAUGAUAGGUCUAAGGACAUCAAUCCAAGAAAGACCACAGAAGCUAUGGCACCAUUCAUGACGUAUAAAGGAAUAGAACUCCCAGUUACUUCAGAAAGAAUCUCAUACCAGAGUCUAGUUCCAGUGUUGACAGCAACAAUUCCUUACAAAACAGACAGGAGCUAGUUGGAUGCAGAACUGUUGAUAGUCUGGAUGCCAUUGCAACACUGUGGGUGGAAUGUACAUCAUUUCACUGGAUGGAAAAACAUGCAAUAGGCCGGAUUGAUCUAAAACCUGUCGCCCUUCAAACUGAGCUACAUACCGUUAAAGUUCAGGAACGAAUUUCCUCCAAAUCGGAUUGGAUAUUGCAAGUCUAGUGUUUUGAACAUGACAACACUGUGUAUCCUGUAUUCCCGGUAUCUACAAAAUCUUCACUUGUGCACAAGCAGGCUGCUGAAAAAUAUCUGUAAAUUUGAACCUGUAACCUGGGACGAAGAAAUGUUUCAAUUGAUAUAUGGAGCUGUUCACUAUGAAUAAGUGACCUAAAGACAUUUGAUCCUAAAAUUACAAAAUUAUGUGUUUUUUUAUUAUGAUCUUAUCAAAAUGUUGUCCGUGAGUCAUUUGAUGAAGGGCUAUCUCUGUUGAUUGGGUGUCAAACCCAAUCAACAGAGAUUAAAGUAAACUUUAGGUUAUCUUUUGAAAAGAACUAUACCUGUAAGUUUUCUGAGUUAUGUGAUAACAUUGUUUUCAUUUCAUAUGAGCUUUUAUGAAACUUUUCUCGAAAAUCC